RNAcentral lists this ribosomal RNA (402 nucleotides) under uncultured bacterium. RNAcentral describes it as "bacterial SSU rRNA". It matches the Rfam family "Bacterial small subunit ribosomal RNA", at positions 355 to 774 of the family's 1533-position model. The record is from RNAcentral.
UGGGGAAUCUUGCACAAUGGGGGCAACCCUGAUGCAGCGACGCCGCGUGAGCGAUGAAGCCCUUCGGGGCGUAAAGCUCUUUCGACCGGAACGAUAAUGACGGUACCGGGUGAAGAAGCUGCGGCUAACUACGUGCCAGCAGCCGCGGUAAUACGUAGGCAGCAAGCGUUGUUCGGAGUUACUGGGCGUAAAGAGUGCGUAGGCGGUUUUCUAAGUUCGGUGUGAAAUCUCCCGGCUUAACUGGGAGGGUGCGCCGAAGACUGGGAAGCUGGAGUGUGGGAAAGGCAGGCGGAAUUCCUGGUGUAGCGGUGAAAUGCGUAGAUAUCAGGAGGAACACCGGCGGUGUAGACGGCUUGCUAAACCAUAACUGACGCUGAGGCACGAAAGCGUGGGUAGCAAACA